RNAcentral lists this ribosomal RNA (335 nucleotides) under uncultured Nitrospira sp. RNAcentral describes it as "bacterial SSU rRNA". It matches the Rfam family "Bacterial small subunit ribosomal RNA", at positions 1060 to 1394 of the family's 1533-position model. Lineage: Bacteria; Pseudomonadati; Nitrospirota; Nitrospiria; Nitrospirales; Nitrospiraceae. The record is from RNAcentral.
UCGUGCCGUGAGGUGUUGGGUUAAGUCCCGCAACGAGCGCAACCCCUGCUUUCAGUUGCUACCGGGUCAUGCCGAGCACUCUGAAAGGACUGCCCAGGAUAACGGGGAGGAAGGUGGGGAUGACGUCAAGUCAGCAUGGCCUUUAUGCCUGGGGCCACACACGUGCUACAAUGGCCGGUACAAAGCGCUGCAAACCUGCAAAGGGGAGCCAAUCGCAAAAAACCGGCCUCAGUUCAGAUUGAGGUCUGCAACUCGACCUCAUGAAGGCGGAAUCGCUAGUAAUCGCGGAUCAGCACGCCGCGGUGAAUACGUUCCCGGGCCUUGUACACACCGCC